Molecule: long non-coding RNA, 742 nt
Organism: Boleophthalmus pectinirostris (great blue-spotted mudskipper)
Lineage: Eukaryota; Metazoa; Chordata; Actinopteri; Gobiiformes; Gobiidae
Exons: 4
Source: RefSeq, a predicted model, not a curated record
GCAGUAGUAGUGGCUGUAGCUGCAGUACUUGUACUUGUACUUGUACUUGUCAGUGUGGUGGUCGUGGUCACAUGGAGGAGACUCAGAGUGAAGCCCGACACCAGAAGUGACCCUCCUGCUGAACGUGAAGAGGAAGGGCUUUACUGCAAUGUCACCUACAACACCAACAACCAGAUAUAUGAGGUCAGACAGAGUGAGGAGGAGGAGGAGGUGGUGACCUACAAUUCAGUGAGGAACCCCACUGUGGAGGACCCUGCUCAGCUCUACGCCACCGUCAAAAAAUGAACGACAACCUGGAUGUGUAAAAAUUCUAUGGUGUUUAGCCAAAAUUGAAUAAAAUGAUAAAAUAAAUGAUUAGACAUUUUUUUAAAGAGGCCUUUUUUAUGACUUACUGUAUCUGGUAAUAUUAUAAAAUACCACAAGACAGCAGCUUCAGAACACACUGAUAGAAAUAUGAUAUGAUUUUUGUUUCUAAAGGCAAUUUUUUGUUUUGUUUUUACCCGUAAUUUACAACAGGAGCGUCAGCGAGGCAGAGCUGCAUACACACAUACUUUUCAAAGCUUGAACUUACACCAGAGCUGCUCCUGUGACUCCAGCUUCUGUGUUUUGUCACGUUUAAACACUAAACUUUUUAUGUUGCUUAUGUAUUCAUUGUUGAUUGGAUAAAUUAUGUUUUAAAUGACAAUACAAAGAGACACGGUGCUUUGCAGUGAUAACGAGUCAUAUCUGCGGUGCUGCAAUA